AUGCAGGAGACAGAAGAAUCAAGGAGGGACACGUGUGAUGCCAAGAAUGGCACACAGCCCUCUGGAUGUCCCACCUGCUGCGAGCAAAGCAGAACAGUCAGCCCCAGAGUGCCAUUCUGGUCUCUCCUCUCAAAGGGGACCAAGCAGAACUUGAUGAGAAACAGCAAAAGGCUACAUGGAUGGUCAAAGCGAUGCUGUGGUAUCCGCACCAAGCAGGAGCUGAGAUCCUUCAGGCAGUGAACGACUAGAGACAGGCUGGGUGACGGAGGUGAGUGCUAUUGAACUGGGAACUAAGGAGUGAUUAUUCACUCUUUCUUUCAGUACAACAACUGCUGCCAAGUGGAAGCAGCAGGAUUAAAAAUGGGAAGAGAAAUUCUUUGUGCUGUGUAGAGCCAAACUGCUGGACUCCUCGCCUUGGUGUAUGUGGGUGCUAACUGCUUAAAAAGAAAGGGGUUCAAAAGAAAGCUCAAAAAUGCAUGGGUCAUUGGGGUGGGAGGAAGGUGACCUGCCUUGCACUUAUGUUUGUGUCCUUGUAUUUAAGGCAGUUUACAGUAAGAUCUAGAAACACUGAGGGUGACGUUUCCUGCAGUAGGUGUGUGCUGUAGGAAGGCUGGUGGCAUUAUCAGAAGAAUCUUCUAGAGAUCAAACAAGGCCCUUUCCUCUGAGAGAGGAAGGGUGGGCGCACACAUGGGUUUUCAACACUUGAUUUAUUUUUACAAUCCUCUCUUUUCCCACCUCCCCCUCCAAGGUAUCUUGGAAGCCAAGACUGACACCUGCCAGGAUGUGAGAUGCCCAGACAAAAUCAGAAUGAUCCUCUCCAAAGCUGGAGCGGAGGAGGACCGGCUUCUGGCCUGCUGAGAUCAAAGGGCCAGCUGGGGCUGCGGCUGUAGGACCGGGCCAUUCCCAGGUGCAGGGACUGUUGAGGUGUCAGUCACGUCCCCCCACACAGAGUCAUACGCAGCCACUCGGCGUAUGACUUUGGGGCAGCUGGUGGCAGCCAAGGCUCGGCCUGCACACCCCCUUCCUUGAGAAGCAUGACGGAAGGGAUUAAGUGGCUUGUAAGGUGACACGGGGUUGAUCAGCCCUCAGCGGCGUGGUGGGAGGGGAGGUGCUGCAGAUGCUUUCCAUCUCUGCUCUUGGUCUCCUGUUCACUCGCUGAAGCCCAGAGGCUGAUUCCACUGGAGCUAUUGGAGCAGCUCCUAUGCC
RNAcentral lists this long non-coding RNA (1206 nucleotides) under Phasianus colchicus (ring-necked pheasant). RNAcentral's name for it is "lncRNA (ENSPCLG00000009456.1)". Lineage: Eukaryota; Metazoa; Chordata; Aves; Galliformes; Phasianidae. The record is from RNAcentral.